AGAUUGAACGCUAGCGGCAUGCCUAACACAUGCAAGUCGAACGGUAACAGGCCCUUCGGGGUGCUGACGAGUGGCGGACGGGUGAGUAAUGCGUAGGAAUCUACCCACGAGUGGGGGAGUAGCCCGGAGAAAUCCGGAUUAAUACCGCAUAUGCCCUACGGGGUAAAGGACGGGGGAGUCGUAAGACCUCGCGCUGGUGGAUGAGCCUACGUCCGAUUAGUUAGUUGGUGGGGUAAAGGCCGUACCAAGGCGACGAUCGGUAGCUGGUCUGAGAGGAUGAUCAGCCACACUGGGACGUGAGACAACGGCCCAGACUCCUACCGGGAGGCAGC
This 332-nucleotide ribosomal RNA is filed under the name uncultured prokaryote. Its description in RNAcentral is "bacterial SSU rRNA". It matches the Rfam family "Bacterial small subunit ribosomal RNA", at positions 26 to 352 of the family's 1533-position model. The record is from RNAcentral.